Molecule: ribosomal RNA, 460 nt
Filed under: uncultured bacterium
Lineage: Bacteria
Description: partial 16S ribosomal RNA
Rfam family: Bacterial small subunit ribosomal RNA
Source: RNAcentral
CCUACGGGAGGCAGCAGUGAGGAAUAUUGGUCAAUGGGCGCGAGCCUGAACCAGCCAAGUCGCGUGAGGGAGGACGGCCCUACGGGUUGUAAACCUCUUUUGUCGGGGAGCAACGGGCGUCACGUGUGUCGCCACUGAGAGUACCCGGAGAAAAAGCAUCGGCUAACUCCGGCCCAGCAGCCGCGGUAAUACGGAGGAUGCGAGCGUAAUCCGGAUUGAUUGGUUUUAACGGGGGCGUAGUCGGAUCGUUAAGUCAGUGGUCAAAUUGAGGGGCUCAACCCCUUCCCGCCAUUGAUACUGGCGUUCUUGAGUGGAAGAGAAGUAUGCGGAAUGCGUGGUGUAGCGGUGAAAUGCAUAGAUAUCACACAGAACCCCGAUUGCGAAGGCAGCAUGCCGGCUUCCGACUGACGCUGAAGCACGAAAGCGUGGGGAUCGAACAGGAUUAGAUACCCUUGUAGUC